Molecule: transfer RNA, 72 nt
Filed under: Mesocricetus auratus (golden hamster)
Lineage: Eukaryota; Metazoa; Chordata; Mammalia; Rodentia; Cricetidae
Rfam family: tRNA
About the family: Transfer RNA (tRNA) molecules are approximately 80 nucleotides in length. Their secondary structure includes four short double-helical elements and three loops (D, anti-codon, and T loops).
Source: Rfam by way of RNAcentral
GAGUUGGUGCUAUAUUUGUUAACAUAGCUGCCUUCCAAGCAGUUGGCCCUGGUUUGAGUGCCAGCCUAUUCA